AGUGGGAUAGCUGGGUCAAAUGAUGGUUUCAUUCCAAGUUUAUGAGGUAUCUCCAUACUGCUUUUCAUAGUUGUUGCAUCAAUAUGCAGUCCCACCAGCAAU
Molecule: microRNA precursor, 102 nt
Filed under: Marmota monax (woodchuck)
Lineage: Eukaryota; Metazoa; Chordata; Mammalia; Rodentia; Sciuridae
Source: RNAcentral